AUAACUUUUAAUCAGAUCCAGAGAGAUUUGAAAGGUUGUUCAGAAUAGCGAAUGCUUAUAGGGUAUUCGUCUAGCUCUCUGCAGCCUUUGCAGGGAGCUUUUUUUU
Molecule: regulatory RNA element, 106 nt
Organism: Oceanobacillus oncorhynchi
Lineage: Bacteria; Bacillati; Bacillota; Bacilli; Caryophanales; Bacillaceae
Rfam family: PyrR binding site
About the family: This family represents the PyrR binding site and terminator structure.
Source: Rfam